Molecule: long non-coding RNA, 521 nt
Organism: Cloeon dipterum
Lineage: Eukaryota; Metazoa; Arthropoda; Insecta; Ephemeroptera; Baetidae
Exons: 3
Source: RefSeq, a predicted model, not a curated record
CGGAGCAGCAGCCCUGGUCCAUCGCGCGUCCCAAGAAGAAAUCACAAUGAGGCUCGGAUUUGUCUUCCUCCUCAGCCUCGCGGUUUGCGCCGCACAAACUUCUCAGAGCGAUGUCUACUUUCCAGCUCCUUAUUUUGACGAAGGAGAAAAUUUGAGUAGCGAUAAUUGUGGAAUCGAAUCAUCUCAGAACCAGUCGGCCGUUUUUGUUAAAAACAUUCGUGCUGAAAUAUAUUGCGAGCCAUUUAUAGCUAUUUCUCAAACGACUAUUCUUGGACUAGAAAGAUGCUCUUUCCAUAAAGGUUUUACGGCCGCUGGUUCAUCAGGGGCAUUGUCAGCUCUGGAAUAUCGAGAAAAGUGAUGAUUGAUGGUGAAGAAAGAUCGUUGUGUCACCCGAAUCAAUACUCCUUGUUCACUGACGUCGCAAGUUACAUGGACUGGUUCGUGGAAAACACGCCGGAAAUUUCGUUCCGAAAUUAAUUCAAAAGAAGUUACGAGUUUUGAAUAGAAAAAUUUACAUUGAC